RNAcentral lists this long non-coding RNA (604 nucleotides) under Gallus gallus (chicken). The record is from RNAcentral. Lineage: Eukaryota; Metazoa; Chordata; Aves; Galliformes; Phasianidae.
GUUUUCUGGAAUACCAAGUUAAAAACGUGAGCCGAACUAAACAUGCCAUACACAUGCUGAUAAGAAUUUAACACACAUUCAUCCGUAUGGGCACUCUUCAGUAGACUGGACCAGUGUUUCAAUGCAAAUUCCAGCCCCCAGAGAACUACAUGGUUUAGAUUUCACAGUAUGACUUCUCCCCUGUAAUCUGGGAAAAAAAACUUAACUGGUUAAUUGACCGAGUUCUUAGCUACUCUGUCCAUCAACGUUCUGAGACAUCAGAAAAGACUGGACCACUUCUUCAGUGGAUUGAGGACUGCUGCUUACAUCCUCCAGAGCAUCUGUAACUGAGAACUGCCGAUCCCGCAACCGGUUCCAAUUGGCCAAAAUAUUGUGGUACUCAAAAACUUUCUCAUAAUUGCCAACGGAAUUGUACAGUUUAAUGAGACCUCUGUAAUCAUAUUCAAGUCCACUGUAUCCUUCACCAAAAAGCUUCUUUCCAAUUGCUAUGGAUCUCAAAUAAAGCUUUUCAGCAUUUUCAUACUGAUUCAUAUCAUAGUUAUAGAGAGAAGCUAGAUGUCCCACUGACAGUGCAACUUCAUAAUCCUCUUGACCCAGGAGCUGC